This 409-nucleotide ribosomal RNA is filed under the name Haemophilus influenzae. RNAcentral's name for it is "bacterial LSU rRNA". It matches the Rfam family "Bacterial large subunit ribosomal RNA", at positions 1117 to 1412 of the family's 2925-position model. The record is from RNAcentral. Lineage: Bacteria; Pseudomonadati; Pseudomonadota; Gammaproteobacteria; Pasteurellales; Pasteurellaceae.
CAUCAUUUAAAGAAAGCGUAAUAGCUCACUAGUCGAGUCGGCCUGCGCGGAAGAUGUAACGGGGCUGAAAUAUAGCACCGAAGCUGCGGCAUCAGGCGUAUCACUAAUACGCCUUACGAUUAACAACAUGGAAUGGUGCGAAGCGACAUGAAAGGUUGUUCAAGCAACCCGAACGUUGAGUCGGGCAUCUUUGAGUAAGGAUGAUUAGUGAUACGCCUGUUGGGUAGGGGAGCGUUCUGUAAGCGGAUGAAGGUGGCUCGAGAGGGCUGCUGGACGUAUCAGAAGUGCGAAUGCUGACAUAAGUAACGAUAAAACGGGUGAAAAACCCGUUCGCCGGAAGACCAAGGGUUCCUGUCCAACGUUAAUCGGGGCAGGGUGAGUCGGCUCCUAAGGCGAGGCUGAAAAGCGU